CGCCGUUCGCCGAGCCCGACUCAGAAACUUAAAGGGAAUUAGACGGGGGCCCGGCACAAGCGGAGGAGCAUGUGGUUUAAUUCGAUGAUACGCGAGGAACCUUACCUGGGCUCGAACGUAAGAUGACUGUAGGUGAAAGCUUACAUCUCUUCGGAGCAUUUUACGAGGUGCUGCAUGGUUGUCGUCAGCUCGUGCCGUGAGGUGUCGGGUUAAGUCCCAUAACGAGCGCAACCCCUACCUUUAGUUGCCAUCAGGUUAAGCUGGGGACUCUAAAGGAACUGCCUACGCAAGUAGUGAGGAAGGCGGGGAUGACGUCAAAUCAGCACGGCCCUUACGUCCAGGGCUACACACGUGCUACAAUGGCCGAUACAGAGGGCAGCUACCUGGUGACAGGAUGCAAAUCUCCAAAGUCGGUCUCAGUUCGGAUCGGAGUCUGCAACCCGACUCCGUGAAGUUGGAUUCGCUAGUAAUCGCGCAUCAGCCAUGGCGCGGUGAAUACGUUCCCGGGCCUU
This 512-nucleotide ribosomal RNA is filed under the name uncultured Sphingobacteriales bacterium. RNAcentral's name for it is "bacterial SSU rRNA". It matches the Rfam family "Bacterial small subunit ribosomal RNA", at positions 903 to 1382 of the family's 1533-position model. The record is from RNAcentral. Lineage: Bacteria; Pseudomonadati; Bacteroidota; Sphingobacteriia; Sphingobacteriales.